Small nuclear RNA from Cebus imitator (Panamanian white-faced capuchin), 123 nucleotides. Its record names the gene U4. It matches the Rfam family "U4 spliceosomal RNA". From Rfam's summary of the family: U4 small nuclear RNA (U4 snRNA) is a component of the major U2-dependent spliceosome. The structure of U4 snRNA from yeast and human has been reported. Lineage: Eukaryota; Metazoa; Chordata; Mammalia; Primates; Cebidae. The record is from Ensembl.
AGCUUUGUGCAGAGGCAGUAUCAUGGCCAAUGAGGUUUAGCCAUGGCGUGAUUAUUGCUAAUUGAAAACUUUUUCCAAUAGCCCACCAUGACAACUUGUAAUAUAGUCAGCAUUAAAAAUAAA